CGCUAUCUACAGGCUUAACACAUGCAAGUCGAGGGGCAUCAGGAAGAAAGCUUGCUUUCUUUGCUGGCGACCGGCGCACGGGUGAGUAACACGUAUCCAACCUGCCCUUUACUCGGGGAUAGCCUUUCGAAAGAAAGAUUAAUACCCGAUGGCAUAAUGAUUCCGCAUGGUUUCAUUAUUAAAGGAUUCCGGUAAAGGAUGGGGAUGCGUUCCAUUAGGUUGUUGGUGAGGUAACGGCUCACCAAGCCUUCGAUGGAUAGGGGUUCUGAGAGGAAGGUCCCCCACAUUGGAACUGAGACACGGUCCAAACUCCUACGGGAGGCAGCAGUGAGGAAUAUUGGUCAAUGGGCGCUAGCCUGAACCAGCCAAGUAGCGUGAAGGAUGAAGGCUCUAUGGGUCGUAAACUUCUUUUAUAUAAGAAUAAAGUGCAGUAUGUAUACUGUUUUGUAUGUAUUAUAUGAAUAAGGAUCGGCUAACUCCGUGCCAGCAGCCGCGGUAAUACGGAGGAUCCGAGCGUUAUCCGGAUUUAUUGGGUUUAAAGGGAGCGUAGGUGGACUGGUAAGUCAGUUGUGAAAGUUUGCGGCUCAACCGUAAAAUUGCAGUUGAUACUGUCAGUCUUGAGUACAGUAGAGGUGGGCGGAAUUCGUGGUGUAGCGGUGAAAUGCUUAGAUAUCACGAAGAACUCCGAUUGCGAAGGCAGCUCACUGGACUGCAACUGACACUGAUGCUCGAAAGUGUGGGUAUCAAACAGGAUUAGAUACCCUGGUAGUCCACACAGUAAACGAUGAAUACUCGCUGUUUGCGAUAUACAGUAAGCGGCCAAGCGAAAGCAUUAAGUAUUCCACCUGGGGAGUACGCCGGCAACGGUGAAACUCAAAGGAAUUGACGGGGGCCCGCACAAGCGGAGGAACAUGUGGUUUAAUUCGAUGAUACGCGAGGAACCUUACCCGGGCUUAAAUUGCAGUGGAAUGAUGUGGAAACAUGUCAGUGAGCAAUCACCGCUGUGAAGGUGCUGCAUGGUUGUCGUCAGCUCGUGCCGUGAGGUGUCGGCUUAAGUGCCAUAACGAGCGCAACCCUUAUCUUUAGUUACUAACAGGUUAUGCUGAGGACUCUAGAGAGACUGCCGUCGUAAGAUGUGAGGAAGGUGGGGAUGACGUCAAAUCAGCACGGCCCUUACGUCCGGGGCUACACACGUGUUACAAUGGGGGGUACAGAAGGCAGCUAGCGGGUGACCGUAUGCUAAUCCCAAAAGCCUCUCUCAGUUCGGAUCGAAGUCUGCAACCCGACUUCGUGAAGCUGGAUUCGCUAGUAAUCGCGCAUCAGCCACGGCGCGGUGAAUACGUUCCCGGGCCUUGUACACACCGCCCGUCAAGCCAUGGGAGCCGGGGGUACCUGAAGUACGUAACCGCAAGGAUCGUCCUAGGGUAAAACUGGUGACUGG
RNAcentral lists this ribosomal RNA (1441 nucleotides) under uncultured organism. Its description in RNAcentral is "SSU rRNA". It matches the Rfam family "Bacterial small subunit ribosomal RNA". The record is from RNAcentral.